This is a non-coding RNA of Canis lupus familiaris (dog), 104 nucleotides long. The record is from Rfam. NCBI's taxonomy places the organism in Eukaryota, Metazoa, Chordata, Mammalia, Carnivora, Canidae.
GUGCUCACUUCAGCACAUAUGCUAAAAUUGGAAUGACAAAGAGGGAUUAGCAUGGCCCCUGCUCAAGGAUGACAGGCAAAUUCAUAGAAUUACUUUCAUUAUGA